Molecule: long non-coding RNA, 2069 nt
Organism: Gallus gallus (chicken)
Lineage: Eukaryota; Metazoa; Chordata; Aves; Galliformes; Phasianidae
Exons: 3
Source: RefSeq, a predicted model, not a curated record
GGUUCUCUAGAUCUCUCCAAACCACCUCUCAUAAAAAUCCACCAUCCUGGAUGCAUGGCAGCUACUCCAUCCCUUUGUUGGGUGAAUUCCAAAGUGAAGUAUGGAGCCCCAUGGCAGGGUGGCUGUGUGUGUCUGCAUGUGAGGAGAUUGGAGGGAAUCCCUUCUGGAUUCAAUCUCUUCCAAGGUCUACCCAGUUCCUCUCUGAACUUGGAGCAUUGUGAUGUUUGCACAUUCUACCCCACUGAAGCCUCUGCUCCGUGUGCAGUUGUGAUGAGAAAAAACCUAUAGCUUCUUCUGGUGCACAAAGAAGAAAGAGUCUAGUCCCAGAAUCAGAGAAAACUGGCACUGCUGUUGGAGUAUAUAAACUCAACGGUCAUGGCUUGCUCAGCGACAGAUGUUCCAGAUAAGCCAUAGUCUCCUUAACAAAUAUUUCAACAACGUUUUCCUUCCAAUUCUCUUUCUGCCGGAGCCAGAUCUCUGCAGCAGGGAAUAGCAGAUCACCUGGCUGGAUCUGUGAUUCCUCUCUGUUGCUGCCCACCCAGCACGAAAUCCGCUGUGCUAAUCACCAGGCCAGUGAUGAUCACCCUGCACCUGUCCCAGAAAAAAUGAUGUGCUGCUCUUUCCAUUGCAGCCAAGCCUCCGUGCUACAGUGUCAUCUCCUUGUGAUCUUUUCAGCACAUACAAAGGCUGAUUACCAUUAUUUAUGAGAAGAAAAAUAAAACCCUAAAAAUAUCUUGCUGUAUUACACCACACCAGUUCCCUACAGCUGAAAGCUUUUCCAGAAGUUCGCUUUGGAUCCCGAAACAAAUGAGAUGAGCCAUCAGUGUGUAACAGCAAGUCUGUAAAACAGCUAAUGAGUUUGUGUCUGUUUGAAAACAGAUUCUUUGUGGGGUGAGGUUGGUGGAGUGAUUACGACAAACAGCGCCUGCUGACAUCCAGAUUUGGAGGCUAAACUUGUGUGACAAUGAGAAGAGUGGGGAAAGAAUGUAGCUGGAAUUGGGAGGAUGUUGGAGAGCUGUGAGCAAGAGGCUGGGGUUGAAGCAGGACUCUGAGGCUGUGACUGCAGGCAAAUGGAAAACAAAACCAUGAAGGGAAAAUCUGCAAGAAGGAAGCAUUUGUACCCAGCAGCUGAACGGCCUGCAUUUGUACCCAGCAGCUGAAUGGGCAUCACUGGUGAUGAGGGAAGGAAAGGUUGGCAGUUGGAAGCAAAAUGGGGCUGACUGUGGAACUUCCCAAACCCCAGCAAGUCCUGUACUCAAGUAAAAGUAGAACAUCAAUCAAAAACAUCUUCUCUUUGUUGCUUCUCAUCCUGAAGAGUGAUGCACUUAUUUGAGUCCUUCACACAAUUUUUACAAUGCUGACUGCACUGUAGCACUCAAAUUCUCCCAUGGUCGGCAGCCCCAGUGAAUAAACUGAGAGGCAGAAAAUGGCCCUGGAAUUGAAGCUGGUGUAAAUCGAGCUACCCUGCUGACGUCAGCUGGGAUAGGAUCUCUUACUGAAAGACUCAUUCAGAAUACCAGUGCUCUUGCUAUCACAAUACAUGAUUUGUCUCCACUAAUAUCUAGACAGAUAUGGCUAUUAGAACAUUCAAGUAUCGAGUUAUUAUUUCCCCACUUAGAAAUACUCAGAGGAGCACUGGGCAUUUUGGUGCACACCCAGACCUGUGACUUUUUGCUGAUGCACAUAAACGUGUCUGUGCCAUAAAUUUAGCAGAGGAUUCAGAAGAUCCUCCAUCUGAAAAUGCAGAUUGGAUGCCUCUUGGAAUACAGACAUCCCAGCUCAACUGUGAGAAAUGAGCUCUGUGAUGGAACAACGGAGAGAAAUGCUGUACCAAGUUCUUCAGAAAAACCUUCUGGCUUUUAUAUCUAGGAAUAGCUCAUACUAACGAACCAUUAAUAAAUAGUGGACAUAAUGAAUGCUGGUUUUCAGCAGCCUCGUAUCUCGGAGACUCUGGAUACUCUGCUGGCCAAUAGGAUUGAAUGAAGAGGAGAAUAUAUGCAGGUUCACAUACAUAUUGACAUGCUAUUAAACCUUAUUUCUUUGGAGGAAUAAAGUUAAAAAGCAUUAUU